ACCCCAACUUGACUAAAUGUUGACAUGUUCACUUAGUUCUAGUUUUAGGGAGAAAGAAGUCAGUACAUUUCUUCUCUGCUCACAGCAAACUUUGCAUCCCACUUGAGCUUCGACAUAAUGAAAAAUGGAAAAAAAAACGAUGUAAAAAGUAGAUUGAAUAGAAUCCCAAACUAAUAACUUACUUCCUGUUUUAACUGGGUUUUUUUGGUUUGCUUUUUUUUUGAUAAUUAAAAAUUAUGAUUUGAUUCAUGGGUAACUGGAACUGGCUUCACGUUUCACAGGAAGCUUUAACUAGUUAAUUCAUAAGCAACACAUCUUGCUUCCAAAUGUAAAAAGUGUUCUUAUGCUAUUCUUAUGCUACUUACAAAAAAAAAAGAUAGAUAGGAUAUAGUGAAGUUUUAAACCAAAACAUUUGAUUUUUUAAUAUUAUCAUUGUGAACUUAUCAUUGUGAACUUAUCA
Non-coding RNA from Biomphalaria pfeifferi, 460 nucleotides. NCBI's taxonomy places the organism in Eukaryota, Metazoa, Mollusca, Gastropoda, Planorbidae. The record is from the annotation of a GenBank genome assembly.